This 253-nucleotide ribosomal RNA is filed under the name uncultured bacterium. RNAcentral's name for it is "partial 16S ribosomal RNA". It matches the Rfam family "Bacterial small subunit ribosomal RNA", at positions 524 to 776 of the family's 1533-position model. The record is from RNAcentral.
UACAGGGGGGGCAAGCGUUGUUCGGAAUUACUGGGCGUAAAGGGUUCGUAGGUGGCUUACUAAGUCAGACGUGAAAUCCCUCAGCUUAACUGGGGAACUGCGUCUGAUACUGGAAAGCUUGAGUGCAGGAGAGGAACGCGGAAUUCCAGGUGUAGCGGUGAAAUGCGUAGAUAUCUGGAGGAACACCGGUGGCGAAGGCGGCGUUCUGGACUGCAACUGACACUGAUGAACGAAAGCCAGGGGAGCAAACGGG